RNAcentral lists this unclassified non-coding RNA (238 nucleotides) under uncultured fungus. Its description in RNAcentral is "sequence contains ITS2". The stretch from base 1 to 52 matches the Rfam family "5.8S ribosomal RNA", at positions 103 to 154 of the family's 154-position model. The record is from RNAcentral. Lineage: Eukaryota; Fungi.
AACGCACAUUGCGCCCUGUGGUAUUCCGCAGGGCAUGCCUGUUCGAGCGUCAUUUAGACCAUUCACGCGUAGCGUGGUAUUGGGGCACGCGGUUCCGCGGCCCUCAAAAUCAGUGGCGGCGCCGGUAGGCCCUAAGCGUAGUAAAUUUCCUCGCUAUAGGGUCCUCUCGGUGGCUCGCCAGAACCCCCAACUUCUGAAGGUUGACCUCGGAUCAGGUAGGGAUACCCGCUGAACUUAA